GGGUUGUGAGGUUAAGCGACUAAGCGUACACGGUGGAUGCCCUGGCAGUCAGAGGCGAUGAAGGACGUGCUAAUCUGCGAAAAGCGUCGGUAAGGUGAUAUGAACCGUUAUAACCGGCGAUGUCCGAAUGGGGAAACCCAGUGCAAUUCGUUGCACUAUCGUUAACUGAAUACAUAGGUUAACGAGGCGAACCGGGGGAACUGAAACAUCUAAGUACCCCGAGGAAAAGAAAUCAACCGAGAUUCCCCCAGUAGCGGCGAGCGAACGGGGAGCAGCCCAGAGUCUGAAUCAGCUUGUGUGUUAGUGGAACGGUCUGGAAAGUCCGACGGUACAGGGUGAUAGUCCCGUACACCAAAAUGCACAGGCUGUGAACUCGAAGAGUAGGGCGGGACACGUGGUAUCCUGUCUGAAUAUGGGGGGACCAUCCUCCAAGGCUAAAUACUCCUGACUGACCGAUAGUGAACCAGUACCGUGAGGGAAAGGCGAAAAGAACCCCGGCGAGGGGAGUGAAAAAGAACCUGAAACCGUGUACGUACAAGCAGUGGGAGCACCUUCGGGUGUGACUGCGUACCUUUUGUAUAAUGGGUCAGCGACUUAUAUUCUGUAGCAAGGUUAACCGUAUAGGGGAGCCGCAGGGAAACCGAGUCUUAACUGGGCGUUAAGUUGCAGGGUAUAGACCCGAAACCCGGUGAUCUAGCCAUGGGCAGGUUGAAGGUUGGGUAACACUAACUGGAGGACCGAACCGACUAAUGUUGAAAAAUUAGCGGAUGACUUGUGGCUGGGGGUGAAAGGCCAAUCAAACCGGGAGAUAGCUGGUUCUCCCCGAAAGCUAUUUAGGUAGCGCCUCGUGAACUCAUCUUCGGGGGUAGAGCACUGUUUCGGCUAGGGGGUCAUCCCGACUUACCAACCCGAUGCAAACUACGAAUACCGAAGAAUGUUAUCACGGGAGACACACGGCGGGUGCUAACGUCCGUCGUGAAGAGGGAAACAACCCAGACCGCCAGCUAAGGUCCCAAAGUCAUGGUUAAGUGGGAAACGAUGUGGGAAGGCACAGACAGCCAGGAUGUUGGCUUAGAAGCAGCCAUCAUUUAAAGAAAGCGUAAUAGCUCACUGGUCGAGUCGGCCUGCGCGGAAGAUGUAACGGGGCUAAACCAUGCACCGAAGCUGCGGCAGCGACACUAUGUGUUGUUGGGUAGGGGAGCGUUCUGUAAGCCUGCGAAGGUGACCUGUGAGGGUUGCUGGAGGUAUCAGAAGUGCGAAUGCUGACAUAAGUAACGAUAAAGCGGGUGAAAAGCCCGCUCGCCGGAAGACCAAGGGUUCCUGUCCAACGUUAAUCGGGGCAGGGUGAGUCGACCCCUAAGGCGAGGCCGAAAGGCGUAGUCGAUGGGAAACAGGUUAAUAUUCCUGUACUUGGUGUUACUGCGAAGGGGGGACGGAGAAGGCUAUGUUAGCCGGGCGACGGUUGUCCCGGUUUAAGCAUGUAGGCUGAUUGUCCAGGCAAAUCCGGAUAAUCAAGGCUGAGGUGUGAUGACGAGGCACUACGGUGCUGAAGUAACAAAUGCCCUGCUUCCAGGAAAAGCCUCUAAGCAUCAGGUAACAUUAAAUCGUACCCCAAACCGACACAGGUGGUCAGGUAGAGAAUACCAAGGCGCUUGAGAGAACUCGGGUGAAGGAACUAGGCAAAAUGGUGCCGUAACUUCGGGAGAAGGCACGCUGGUGUGUAGGUGAAGUCCCUGCGGAUGGAGCUGAGACCAGUCGAAGAUACCAGCUGGCUGCAACUGUUUAUUAAAAACACAGCACUGUGCAAACACGAAAGUGGACGUAUACGGUGUGACGCCUGCCCGGUGCCGGAAGGUUAAUUGAUGGGGUUAUCCGUAAGGAGAAGCUCUUGAUCGAAGCCCCGGUAAACGGCGGCCGUAACUAUAACGGUCCUAAGGUAGCGAAAUUCCUUGUCGGGUAAGUUCCGACCUGCACGAAUGGCGUAAUGAUGGCCAGGCUGUCUCCACCCGAGACUCAGUGAAAUUGAACUCGCUGUGAAGAUGCAGUGUACCCGCGGCAAGACGGAAAGACCCCGUGAACCUUUACUAUAGCUUGACACUGAACAUUGAGCCUUGAUGUGUAGGAUAGGUGGGAGGCUUUGAAGCGUGGACGCCAGUCUGCGUGGAGCCAACCUUGAAAUACCACCCUUUAAUGUUUGAUGUUCUAACGUUGGCCCCUGACCGGGGUUGCGGACAGUGUCUGGUGGGUAGUUUGACUGGGGCGGUCUCCUCCCAAAGCGUAACGGAGGAGCACGAAGGUUAGCUAAUCCUGGUCGGACAUCAGGAGGUUAGUGCAAUGGCAUAAGCUAGCUUGACUGCGAGCGUGACGGCGCGAGCAGGUGCGAAAGCAGGUCAUAGUGAUCCGGUGGUUCUGAAUGGAAGGGCCAUCGCUCAACGGAUAAAAGGUACUCCGGGGAUAACAGGCUGAUACCGCCCAAGAGUUCAUAUCGACGGCGGUGUUUGGCACCUCGAUGUCGGCUCAUCACAUCCUGGGGCUGAAGUAGGUCCCAAGGGUAUGGCUGUUCGCCAUUUAAAGUGGUACGCGAGCUGGGUUUAGAACGUCGUGAGACAGUUCGGUCCCUAUCUGCCGUGGGCGCUGGAGAAUUGAGGGGGGCUGCUCCUAGUACGAGAGGACCGGAGUGGACGCAUCACUGGUGUUCGGGUUGUCAUGCCAAUGGCACUGCCCGGUAGCUAAAUGCGGAAGAGAUAAGUGCUGAAAGCAUCUAAGCACGAAACUUGCCCCGAGAUGAGUUCUCCCUGAGACU
RNAcentral lists this ribosomal RNA (2803 nucleotides) under Klebsiella pneumoniae. Its description in RNAcentral is "partial 23S ribosomal RNA". It matches the Rfam family "Bacterial large subunit ribosomal RNA". Lineage: Bacteria; Pseudomonadati; Pseudomonadota; Gammaproteobacteria; Enterobacterales; Enterobacteriaceae. The record is from RNAcentral.